RNAcentral lists this long non-coding RNA (318 nucleotides) under Ananas comosus (pineapple). RNAcentral's name for it is "long non-coding RNA (ACOM_LNC010628)". The record is from RNAcentral. Lineage: Eukaryota; Viridiplantae; Streptophyta; Magnoliopsida; Poales; Bromeliaceae.
AGUUCUCAAAUUAUAAGCUGCGUGACACUUUGAUCCUUAAAUUUUAAUUUUUUACAAUUUCUAGCUUGAAUUUUUUGAAUUAUUACAAUUAAGUCUCACAAUUUAAUUUAGUUGACUAUAUUAUAACGGAUUAUUAAUAUAGAAUUGAUAUGAUAUUUUAAUUAUUGUCACAUCAUUGAUUACAUUACUUUCACAUCACUUAGAUUGUGGGACUUCAUUGUAAUAAUUCAGGCAGUUCAAGUGAGAAAUUAUAAUAAAUUAAAAUUUAAGAACCAAAAUGCCACACGUAUUAUAGUUUGAGGGCCAAAAGUGUAAUUU